AACAAAACAGGAUUAUUUUAUAUAGCUCAGGUGGCCAGAAACUCAGUUCCUUCCUGCCCCUUCUCCUGAGUGCUGCAGUGCAGGUGUGUGCUGCAUUACAGGUGUGUGCUGCAUUGCAGGUGUGUGCUGCUUUACAGGUGUGUGCUGCAUUGCAGGUGUGUGCUGCUUUACAGGUGUGAGCUGCAUUACAG
Molecule: long non-coding RNA, 191 nt
Organism: Acomys russatus (golden spiny mouse)
Lineage: Eukaryota; Metazoa; Chordata; Mammalia; Rodentia; Muridae
Exons: 3
Source: RefSeq, a predicted model, not a curated record